CAGCCCACACUACAACAGCCAAUGCCACCACAACUGCAGCUGGUACUACAACAGCAGUUGCCACUACAACUUCCCCUGUCACCACAACUGCAGCCCACACUACAACAGCCAAUGCCACCACAACUGCAGCUGGUACCUCAACAGCAGUUGCCACUACAACUUCCCCUGCAACCACAACUGCAGCCCACACUUCAACAAUUUCUGCCACCACAACUGCAGUCACUCUUACGACAGAGGCUGCUACUACAACUGCAGCUGCUACUACAACUUCACCUAUCACCACAACUGCAGCCCACACUACAACAGCCAAUGCCACCACAACUGCAACUGGUACCUCAACAUCAGUUGCCACUACAACUUCCCCUAUAACCACAACUGCAGCCCACACUACAACAGCUU
Oncorhynchus tshawytscha (Chinook salmon) is the source of this 399-nucleotide long non-coding RNA. NCBI's taxonomy places the organism in Eukaryota, Metazoa, Chordata, Actinopteri, Salmoniformes, Salmonidae. The record is from Ensembl.